GGAGAGGUGGCCGAGUGGUCGAUGGCGCACGCCUGGAAAGUGUGUAGACGUUAACGCGUCUCCAGGGUUCGAAUCCCUGUCUCUCCGCCA
RNAcentral lists this transfer RNA (90 nucleotides) under Hyphomonas sp. Its description in RNAcentral is "tRNA-Ser". It matches the Rfam family "tRNA". Rfam says of the family: Transfer RNA (tRNA) molecules are approximately 80 nucleotides in length. The record is from RNAcentral. Lineage: Bacteria; Pseudomonadati; Pseudomonadota; Alphaproteobacteria; Hyphomonadales; Hyphomonadaceae. RNAcentral also lists the same sequence under 1 other name.